RNAcentral lists this transfer RNA (71 nucleotides) under Fasciola gigantica. It matches the Rfam family "tRNA". Rfam says of the family: Transfer RNA (tRNA) molecules are approximately 80 nucleotides in length. Their secondary structure includes four short double-helical elements and three loops (D, anti-codon, and T loops). Further hydrogen bonds mediate the characteristic L-shaped molecular structure. tRNAs have two regions of fundamental functional importance: the anti-codon, which is responsible for specific mRNA codon recognition, and the 3' end, to which the tRNAs corresponding amino acid is attached (by aminoacyl-tRNA synthetases). tRNAs cope with the degeneracy of the genetic code in two manners: having more than one tRNA (with a specific anti-codon) for a particular amino acid; and 'wobble' base-pairing, i.e. permitting non-standard base-pairing at the 3rd anti-codon position. The record is from Rfam by way of RNAcentral. Lineage: Eukaryota; Metazoa; Platyhelminthes; Trematoda; Plagiorchiida; Fasciolidae.
GCCCGGAUAGCCUGGUGGUUAGGUAUUCGACUCACAGUCGUUCGCUCUGGGUUCGAGUCUCAGUCGGGGCA